AAAAAAGAACAAGAUGGAAUUGAAUCAAUUCUAAUCUCUUGGGGAAAGAAGCACUUUGCUAACCACAUUUUCCAGAGCCAAGUAAGACGACCCUUUUGGGGCAGUGGCGUCCUCUGCCAACUUCUUCCAUUCAAGGGCUUUCUUCCUCAUCUUUUUGCCCUCUUCUCCAUCCAUCAAUGUCCUCACAAGACCGUCAAUGUAAUCUCUUUUAACUUCCCCGUCUAUCUCAAUGCCUAUGCCCCACUGUGUGCAGCUGUACCUAACAUUUGUUUGCUGCUCUGCAAAGAAAGGCCAGCAGAUGAGAGGCACUCCGCCACACAAGGCCUCGAGGGUAGAGUUCCAGCCACUGUGAGUCAAGAACCCUCCAAUGGCUGAGUGGAGCAGAACCUGUUCUUGAGGGCACCAACUUGCCAACAUACCCCUCUCUUUGGUCUCCUCCAAAAACUCAGGCGGCACCACAGCGGUUUCUCCAGCAACAAGGCCAGGCCUGAUGAUCCACAAAAAUGGCUUCUUGCUAUUUGCAAGUCCCCAAGAAAACUCAACCAGCUGCUCAUUUGUCAUGACUGUGGUGCUUCCAAAGUUGACAUAAACCACAGAGUUGGGCUCUUUGGUGUCCAGCCAGUUAAGGCACUCUGUAUUCUCUGCCCACAGGUUCGAUCCGAUCGCCUUCAAAUCAUUGUAUUCUGAUGGAAUCUCGCUGUAUGGUAGCUGAAGGGGUCCAAUGGAGUAAAUAGGAGGUAGCAAAGUGGAAAGGGCAUCCACAACUUCUUGCUCCAAGGCAUCAAAUGUGUUCAAAAUAAUAGCAGAAGCCUUUUUGGAUCGCUCUGUUUCAGACACCAUAUAAUGCAGCAUGAUGUCGUUUGGGUCUGUGGUUCUAAUAAAGCUAGGCAUGUCCUUCAAUCUGACAUCCUUCAUGCCUGGGAUCCAAUCAAUCUCUGUAUCCAAAUACCCAUUUGCAAAAUCCUUGGCAUCUGCAGAUCAAAUUAAGAAAUCAAUGGAACUAGUUAGCUAACACUCUUUAAGUUUUUUUUAAAAAAAGUGAACUUCUGUUUUUUUUUUUCCCUGAAUGAUUAAUUGAUAGUACCUUUAAAAGGAGUGAGGCCCUUCUCAAUGAGACGGUAAUACUGAACGUAGCCCAUCAAGCCACAAGCACUAGUUGUCCAGAAAAGCACUUCUGGGAUCCCGAAAUGCUCUGCUGCAUCAAGGGUGAAGCUGGUGACACCAUCAGCAACAAUACAAGUCACAGGAGGGGAAUCGGGUGAAGAGUUGAGCUUGGUCAAAAGCGCCUCGAAGGGUGCCAAGCAGGUUUUACUAGUGGAAUCGCACACCAAAGGCAAGUUGCGCCUGGCAUCGGCAUCAGCCGGAGGGAGGCCGUCGGGAAUGGUUUCGAAUCGAAACGAAGGGAGGCCGUCGAGAGCGUGGGAACCUUGGGAUUCAAGCAUGCGCUUGUGGUUGAACUCUGUGUUCACAAAGGUUAUGUGGAAGCCUUUGUAGUUGAGGAGCUUGGCUAAUUGCAGCAUAGGGUUUAUGUGACCCUGAGCUGGGAAGGGUACAAAAACUGCAUGUGGCUUCUCUUUGGAGGCAACUGGACUCAUUUUCUCUGUAUGAUAUCCUAGACAAAAGAGCUGAAGGGAAAUGGAGAUGAUGGGAUGCUAAGAGAAGUGUAAGAACUUGCAGUUUUAUAGUGGUGAAGGGUCAAGGGCUGCACUGUGCGGGCAAGUGCUUCUUGACCGUUGAUGCAUUUUUCGGAUUCUCUAUCUGUUUUUUUAAGAUAAAUUGAGUGCCAGUCAUUCCUCGUGGUAUGAUUAUUAUAAUCUCAGAGAUCGACCUUUCCAAAUGAGUCCAAGGCCACGGUGUCCAGAACAAAUGCUCGCACAACUACUGCCUGAUUAGUGUGUUAGAUUGGAGACAUUGUCGCAUGGCAAGUGUGAAAUGUGUGAAAUGUAUGUAGACUUCAAAACGCACACAAGGUUCAGUCAUAAUCAGAAGAGAAAUGCUGGCCGGCAACUUUCAUAAUUUCAUGGGCCAUACUCUUUUAAAUAAAGAUGUAGAAAGUCUUUAAAAAAAGGAGAAGUUUUAGAGAAUAAAUUACAUUGGGAAAAAGAAAAAGAAGUUUCACACUUUCAUUUUUUUCACUUACACUCGUGCAAAGAUAACUAGUCUUAAAUGAUUAUUCAGUAAUUUAUAAAAUAAAAUAAAAUAACAAACUAUGCUCCUGUGUAUAAGGUUGCAUUUUAUGAAGAACAAACAUUAUUUGUCACCAUCAAUUAUGGAUGUUAUUACUUUUUGGUUUAGUUUAAUAUUGAAAAGAGGGAAUAAAUACAUGACCUUGGUUAUAACUUAUAGGGACAAAUAUUCUAAGUCACUUCAGCCCCUUAUAAAAUUUCAAAUUUGACUAAACCAUAUCAUUUUUCAUCUUGACUACCCUACAAUCUCAUUAAAUCUUUCUUUUUCCAUUUGCCUAUGCUAGUCACCAGUCAUUAGAAAAUCCUUGUGGCUGGAUGUCGAAGAGUCUAUGCCAAUGCCCAUUAGUUAUUCCAUUUGAAAGAACAUGUGCUUUGUUUUAUGCAUUUACUUUUUAUUUUAUUUUAUACAAGCGAUAUUGAGGGGAGAGAAAUCGAACUUAGGACCUCGGGUGUAAGUGUAUUUGUUCUUAAUCACUUGAGCUACAAACAGGGGCAGAGCCAUUAAAGGAUUAGUGUGGUCCCAUGCCCCCACUCCAUCUUUUAUUCAUUGUAUUAUAAUAUUAUGUAUGAUGUAUAAUAUUUAACAUAUUAGACUAGUUUUAGGAGAUAUUUAUCCUAAAAUAAAUAGUAUAUUUUUUGUAUUUUUUGUCUACAACAAUAAAACUUCUUAAUCACUUUUUUAUUUCUCUCUUUUACCUUCUAGAUUAGUUUAUGAUAUUUACACUAAAAACUCCUACAUUUUUAACCUUUCUUUCUCUUUUUCUUUUGUGUAAGUUAAACUUUGUGAAUUUUUAUUUCCCUCUCUUUUUUCAUAGAUUUUAUGAACCCCUUUUGUAUUUAUUCUCUAUGUUGGAAUAUAAAUUAUUAAUUUGUGAGUUUAUAAUAUUUUAGAUGAUGAGAUUAGUACUUAACCAUUAUAAAAUAUGAAAUUGCGGACAAUUAUGAUUGUAAUGAAUGGAUAUAUUAAUCAAUAUAAAAUGAUGUUAUGAAGUAGGCCAAAAGGAGUAGUUUAAUUAGUGUCAUAUUAAUUUAGCAUAUUCUUAAUAAACUUGUGAAUGAGAAUGACUCCCUUUAAUUUGAAAUCCUGAUUCUGCCAUUGACUACAAGUCCCUUGCACAUUUACCUUUUUCAUUUAAGUCUGAAGAAUGCCUUGUAAAAAUGUAAAACGAAAACUAUUAUUGACACUGCAAAGAAAACAUCAUACAUUAAUUCAUUCAAUUGUAAUUUCUCUUAUGAUUUUAUAAUUUUUUAGAAUUCCAAUAACAGCUCUGGAUAAAAUUCAUUAGAAAGAAGAAUUGAAGUAUGUUCAAACAGAUUUCAAAAUAGACUAAACAAUUUAUCAGUAACAACUUUUGUCAGCUUAAUUCCAUUUGUGUGUCAAUUUCGUCCUUAUUAUCAUAAAUUCUGUUAUCAGUAAACAAUCCCCAUAUCAAACAGAGUGUUCAGUUAAGGACAGUGACAAUCGAGCAAUAUUGCCUGACGAAACACCAAACCAGAACUUAAAAUCACGAUAAAAAGGAAAAGAAAGACGUGCUGUCUUCAAUGAGAAAACCAACUUCAGAUCUAUUCUCACACCAAGUGAAAACAUAAGGACAAGAUUGAUGAAAUCGAUGACACAUUAACACUACAACACUGGGCGAAACUCGAGUUUCAUUGUGUUGAAAUGAGUGAUACGAGUGUGCCUUAAUCUAAGAAACAUUGCACACCGCCCAAAAAAAUACUCAAUAAUUGUAUUUUGGUCAAACAAAAAAGAUGAGCAAAUUACAAAAAAAGUAAAAAUAAAAAUAAUCAGGGAAUUCAGAAGAUGUUAUAAAGUAAUAAGCGAAGCCCAUAUAAAGAAAGUAAAAGGAUAUUAGUCAAAAGAUGAAAUUAUGAUGUUGCGUAAAAGUAUCAUUAUGUCUCCUUUAGAUGCCAUUUGCUUUGCCUAUAAAUAGGCAUCAUUUUACUUGUAAAGAUACAUGAAUGGAGAAAAGAAGAGAAAGAAGAGAAAGUGAGAGGAAAUAAGAGAGAGUGAGAAAUCUGAGUGUGUGAGUUCUGUCUAAGAAGAAAUUCUAUCAGUGUAAACAUCAUAAAGAGCAAAUAUAAUUUCACUCCCAAUAUUCAGUGGUACUUCUCAUACUCUUUAAUUUCUUUAGUUUUAUAACACGUUAUCAGCACAAUAGUCUCUCCUUUUUAUUUCUAAAUUUGUCCCAGUGUGCUCAACACUAUGUGGUUAUUUCUCUGUCUCCUCUCUGUCAUAUGUCUCAUCUCACUUUACUACUACGACGACAUGCAAACUUUCUUUUUUGUGUUCUCACAAUUUUUAUGUUGUUUCAUCCAUGCUUGUUUAAUUUACUUCUUUGUAACGUAAUUUGGAAUGAUGCCGUUUUAUACCCCAUCAUGUUGUUUUAUGGUGGUGUAAUUUUUAUUACCCAUCACGUUGUAACACAAAUUAUCAUAAUAAAAUGAUGGUGUGAUCUUAAAACCCAUAUAUUAUAUUUUGAAUAGUGGCGCAGUUAUAUUGCCUGCAAUAUAUAAUAUGUUAUAUACUUUAUAUAUUUUAGGUGGUGGUUUUUGUCUCCACAUUUACUUUAACAAAAUGGACGGUUUUCACCUCCUAUAUUUUUCAGUGGUGGUUUUAUCCCCACAUUUAUUUUAUUUAUGGUAUAGAGUAGGUUUAUUACUCAUACGGCAAUAUUUAUUUAAAAAUGUGGCACGGGUUUAUCGUCCACACAGCUGCCUUUAUUUUUAUUUAAAAGUAUGGAGCAGAAUUAGUCCCCCUGCAAGCACAUUUGCUUUAUUAUUGUAUGGUGUGGAAUUAACCUCCAUACAACAAGCAAUUUACUUUAUGAAUUUACUUUACUGCACAUUUUCUUUCAUUUAAGGUAUAGUGCGAAUUUAUCGUCCAUACCAGCAAAUUUAUGGCACUUUAUUUUUAUCAUCAAUUAAUAUACCUGAAUAAUGAGGGCCUGAAGUUCCUAUUAAUAAGUGGCUUAAUGUCCCAGAUCCCAAGCCUAAAGUUUCGGAUGGCAAAUUUGGCAAAACUGAAGUUUACUGCCUUGGACAUUUCUGGAGACAACUAUUUAUCAUGGCUUUUGGUUGCCAAAAUCCAUCUACGUGCCAAUGGCCUCGUACAAACAAUUUUAUAUGGGAAUGAUGAUUUGCCUGAAGAAAAUGCGAAGGCCAUGAUCUUUCUUCGUCACCACAUCCAUGAAGCGCUGAAAAGCGAAUAUGUGGUGGUUGAUGAACCGUUGGUUCUAUGGAAAGCUUUAGGUGAAAGAUACGAUCACUAGAAGAUGGUGACCUUCCCAAGAGCUAGAUAUGAAUGGACCUACUUGAGAUUUCAAGAUUUCAAGACAGUGUCCGAGUACAACUUUGCUAUGCACAGAAUUACCUCAUUGAUGAGGCUAUGUGGUGAAAAUAUAUCUGAGGAGGAUAUGCUCGAAAAAAACUUUGAGCACUUUUCAUGCUUCAAAUGUCCUCCUGUAGCAGCAAUACAGACAUAGCGGUUUCAAGAAGUACUCGGAACUUGUAUCUUGCCUCUUGUUAGUUGAGCAGAAUAAUGAACUCUUAUUAAAGAAUCACCAAUCUUACCCAACGGGCUCAGCACCACUUCUUGAAGUAAAUGUUGCAUCUCAAGAAGUGAAUGUCACCUCAUCCCGUGGCAAUAUCCACAGACGUGGACAAAAAGGCAAGCGUGGCUGCUGGCAAAGAAGCAAAAAAGAUCGUGGUGCUCGUUCAGAUGGUUUAGGUUCAAUGAGCAAUCAUCCACGAAUGGCAAAAAUGCAUCCCGUAAUAAGGGGAAGGCACGGACGAGCCAUGUGCCUAGAAAUGUGGGAAGUACUUGUCACAGAUGUGGUGCAAAGGGACAUUAGGCGCGUGAAUGUCAUACGCCCAAGUAUUUGGCAAGCUCCAAAAGAGUCAAGAAAUUAAAGUCAGACAAAUCCGCUCAAACGAUAACCUGGCAGAUCUCUUCACCAAAUUAUUGCCAAAAUGUACAUUUCAAAAGUUAGUGCAUGGCAUCGGAUUACGAUAACUCUUCAAGCAAUCAAAUUGAAACAUGCAAAAUUAGGGGGAGCAUUCAAGAGUCCACUAACACAGGACAUAUGAGCGUUGUACUCUUUUUCCUUCGACUAGGGUUUUUCCUAGCAAGGUUUUAACGAGGCAACAUGAGCGCAUUUAACAUUACCCUUAUGUCCUAAAUAAAGUUGUACUCUUUUUCCUUCAUUUAUGUUUUUUCCCACUGGAUUUUUUCAAGUAAGUUUUUAAUGAGGCAACCAAUCUAGGGACAUGUAGUCUCCAAGGGGGAGUGUUAUAAAGUAAGAAGUGAAGCCCACAUGAAGAAAGUAAGGAGGUAUUAGUCAAAAGAUGAAAUUAUGAUGUUGGGUAGAAGUAUCAUUAUGUCUCCCUUAGAUGCCAUUUGCUUUGCCUAUAAAUAGGCAUCAUUUUACUUGUAAAGAUACAAUAAUGGAGAAGAGAAGAGAGAGAAGAGAAAGUGAGAGCAAAGAAGAGAGAGUGAGAAAUCUGAGUAUUUGAGUUCUGUUUGAGAAGAAAUUUUGUCAGUGUAAACACCAUAAAGAGAAAAUAUAAUUCCACUCUCAAUAUUCAGUGGUACUUCUCAUACUCUUUGAUUUCUUUAGUUUUAUAACAGUAGACAAAUUCUUCAGCUACACCACCCAAGAAUUUUUCCUGGAAAUAGAGUUUUGAAAGUGGUACCAAGGACAAGUUCAUGUGACAAAAUUAAUACAUUCUAAUUUUUGGAAGAUAGAAGCACCUUGUUAACCAUUUGUUCCAAAUCCAAAAAGGAUGAUCCAUAUGGACCAGUAGUAGCCUCCUCUGCCAACUUCUUCCAUUCCAAGGCUUUCUUCCUCAUCUUUUUGCCCUCC
This 7051-nucleotide long non-coding RNA is filed under the name Prunus persica (peach). RNAcentral describes it as "long non-coding RNA (PPER_LNC001560)". The record is from RNAcentral. Lineage: Eukaryota; Viridiplantae; Streptophyta; Magnoliopsida; Rosales; Rosaceae.